UGCCUGGUGGCUCAGCGGGUUAAGGCUCCAGCAUUGUCAUUGCUGUGGCUCAGGUUCGAUCCCUGGCCAGGGAA
RNAcentral lists this transfer RNA (74 nucleotides) under Sus scrofa (pig). It matches the Rfam family "tRNA". From Rfam's summary of the family: Transfer RNA (tRNA) molecules are approximately 80 nucleotides in length. Their secondary structure includes four short double-helical elements and three loops (D, anti-codon, and T loops). Lineage: Eukaryota; Metazoa; Chordata; Mammalia; Artiodactyla; Suidae. The record is from Rfam by way of RNAcentral.